RNAcentral lists this ribosomal RNA (465 nucleotides) under uncultured Klebsiella sp. RNAcentral describes it as "bacterial SSU rRNA". It matches the Rfam family "Bacterial small subunit ribosomal RNA", at positions 338 to 795 of the family's 1533-position model. Lineage: Bacteria; Pseudomonadati; Pseudomonadota; Gammaproteobacteria; Enterobacterales; Enterobacteriaceae. The record is from RNAcentral.
CCUACGGGGGGCAGCAGUGGGGAAUAUUGCACAAUGGGCGCAAGCCUGAUGCAGCCAUGCCGCGUGUGUGAAGAAGGCCUUCGGGUUGUAAAGCACUUUCAGCGGGGAGGAAGGCGGUGAGGUUAAUAACCUCAUCGAUUGACGUUACCCGCAGAAGAAGCACCGGCUAACUCCGUGCCAGCAGCCGCGGUAAUACGGAGGGUGCGAGCGUUAAUCGGAAUUACUGGGCGUAAAGCGCACGCAGGCGGUCUGUCAAGUCGGAUGUGAAAUCCCCGGGCUCAACCUGGGAACUGCAUUCGAAACUGGCAGGCUAGAGUCGUGUAGAGGGGGGUAGAAUUCCAGGUGUAGCGGUGAAAUGCGUAGAGAUCUGGAGGAAUACCGGUGGCGAAGGCGGCCCCCUGGACAAAGACUGACGCUCAGGUGCGAAAGCGUGGGGAGCAAACAGGAUUAGAUACCCUAGUAGUC